CCAACAAGAUACUAAAACUCUUACCAACAAUGCUUUCCACAUUAAUUUUUCUUGUAUUACUGGUAGCGACAAUUCAAGCGUCUUCAGAAAUUAUUACAUAUAAGAAGUCGUGUUUCAACGAAGAAUGUCCUUCUUCCACGACAAGCUGCCACAAGGAUUUACUCACUAUAGCCCACGGCGAUGCCAGGGUUCGCAUUCGGUGUCUAGACGAAAAUGACACUGAAGUGCACAAACUCGAGCGGGACGAAUUUUAUCACUUCCGUUACCAGGUGCGGUAUUACGUUUUAGAAAAACCUAAAAUAAUGCGUUGUUCUGGGCUAGGACGUUGCGUCGUUGAAGAAGACAGUGCAGGAUUAUUCAAAAAUUAGACCACCCUCUGUUGCAACAACCACUGUAUCGAAGACACAGACAUUAUGGAAAUAGUCACGUGUUGCCAAAAGCGUUUCGAUUUUAAAUAAAUAAUAAAUAAUA
Long non-coding RNA from Zophobas morio, 471 nucleotides. RefSeq lists it as uncharacterized. The transcript has 3 exons. The record is from RefSeq and is a predicted model, not a curated record. Lineage: Eukaryota; Metazoa; Arthropoda; Insecta; Coleoptera; Tenebrionidae.